GGUGGAGUUUAAAGAAGCAGAUUGAACGAAGACCACCACCAUGAUCCCGUCGCGCCCGCUCGCCCACACACGUCCUAGUAGCUAGGUAGGUAGUGAAGGGGUGGGGACGAUCGUAGGUAGGCCUCCUCUUUGUUUGGUACCGCUCUCACCUCGACGUUCACCUCGGUACCGUUCUUGAGCAUCAGGUCCACUACCACGACGACUCGAAGUGCUACGUCGAUCACGAAGAGCACGACCGCCUCAAGGCGGCCGCGUACCUGAGGCCACACGACUCCCGGCACUAUACCAGCCGGAUGUACUACCGGCUGAGCUGGCGCUGAAUGUAGGACCCUGUGGAGAGGAACUGCUCGUCCAGUCGGCUGGUGGUCGAGUACCGCAAAACCCGCGGGAAGGACGACGACGUGGAACCACCCGUCCUGUUGUAGUGGCGGAUGCGGUAGCUCCUGUUAGCCGACACCCACGCCGUAGACGUCCGAGAGCGGCACGUCUAGCGACGUCGAUGGAUGCAGGAUAUGCUCAGGUGACACCAGCCGUGGGUCCGGGACGAGGCCUUACGACGACAGGAGCACAAGCACGACCCGCAACAGUUCAUACCCCUCUCCCACACCCGCGAGUUCGCACGACUGUAAUCGAGCAGCCCGUCGUUUAUGGCCAAGAUGUUCUUGGACUGGCUAUGAGUCUAACCUGGAGGAUGUCUGGUCGCUCUGCUGUGCCUCCUGGACGACGCCUAUCGGGUGGAAGAAAACCUACAAGGUUUCCUUUACAAAGUCCCCGGCAACGGGCAGCAUCACCAUGGCUGUGUGGAUAUGCUACUACGGGUGCGGUUCGGGUAGAGGCGCCUACUCUACAUGUUCCACCACCUCUACGUCGAGUCGGACUACGUACUACAGCACAUGUCGUUCCGGCACCACUAGGUGUGUACCAUACCGUAGACAUAGGCGUAGUAAAGAGGACACAAGCAACGGUAGCGCAAGUUCAAUAAGGUGUUCAGCCCACGGCCACUGGUGGUGAUAUCGCCUCGUCUGUAACAGUAGUGAAUAUAGGACGAUUAACCCCGCCAAUAUGACCUCAACCAAAGCCACGAUUCCCGGUACAAGAGGUCUACCGGUUCGGAACAUGAUACCUUUGAACGGAUGUUACUGCAGCCUUUCCUUUCCGCGUACACCCCAAACGAAAGGGCACGUUAACGCAGAUAGGCGGCCAAGCAGGAAGGUAACUCCAUGUUCAGCUCUACCACCACCAGCCUGAGAUACCCCGUCGUGUUGUAAAAGCUUAAUACGCAAGCGUCGUCCCGAUCGGUUCCUUCGUCCUAGCGCCCGUCCUACCCCCAGCUCCUGACCACCUUGUGCUACCAGAUGAGUACCAGGUAGGGGCAGAGGUUUUGAUAAUUCCUUGAUCACCACGUUGAUCACGAGCUCUCAUCCGUCUCGAUAUACGAUUCGAUGGUGUCCGGCAUGAGGAUAUGGUGCGACCUCGGUCUAGUGUAUUAAUUGAGUGCCCCGGCCCGCCGGAAUCUCUCCACCUUCAACAUACUCUUUGACCCUUUUAAGGACGUAUUCCUCAAACUACUCUCGUAGGAACACACCGUAUAGCGGUGGUUAUAGAUGGAGACAACCGUGUUUCUAGUCCCCCUUCGACAACGUCUACUAUACACAGUAGAACGCCUCCACUACAGGUUAAUGUACGAAAAGGAGGAACGUCGUGCGGGGAUGUACAACGGCCCGAGACAGUCGGCGUGGUGUAUACAAUUAAACACGAUGAGGGAGUGGUAGCGGUCAGAGUUUAUGUGGAGUCGUGUACUAAACCGGUCAAACGAUUUCCCCAGUUAUAAAGGGAACGGCUGUUAUCAUGUCACACACUACGUGCGUUUGAACGAGUCCUUAACCAGAGAGGUCUUAGACCGGGUGGACGAGGCGACCUCUACUAGCAGCUCCACACCUACCUCUACAACACAAUGCGACCCAUGGUUACGUCGCCCACAAGAGUACGGUUCGUCGACUCGUUGCCGCCGCUCGAGGAGUGGCACCAACGGGAACACCACCUCAUGGCCUCUUCUCCGUAGGAGCUGGGAAUAUCCUCAUUUGGCGACAGGAAGAUGCCGAGACUUAAAAAAAAUCCACAGGGAACUACUUGGUAACUCGGGCAGACCGGGUUGUUACUCUAUAGACUUCAGAUUCGAUUCGGGGAACUACUCUACAGGUUACAAAGAGGAGACCUACUAUGUUGGUGAUAGGGGUAGUUCAAUACAAGCGACCACCAUGGGGUUCCUUGAUGUCACCACGUACUACCACAAGGUGAUGAAGUCGGUCAACAGCAACGAAUAGGCAAACGAUGAACAACGAACACGAACUUGGGAGAUACGAAGAAGGGGACAUCUUACUUACUUACUUGACGCCCUAACA
This 2402-nucleotide ribosomal RNA is filed under the name Triticum aestivum (bread wheat). RNAcentral's name for it is "partial small subunit ribosomal RNA". The record is from RNAcentral. Lineage: Eukaryota; Viridiplantae; Streptophyta; Magnoliopsida; Poales; Poaceae.